GAUGCUGACUUCUCCACUUAGGCAUGUUCAUAAUACUGACGACAAACAUAAGAUGAUCCAUAAUUCAAGUGUUCCUUUGCUUCGGCCGAGAGAUCUUAGGUAAUGUCCUUAUCUAUCUCUAUGGCACUGGUAACUAUUUCUCCAUUCCUCAAUGUUCUUGCUGGCAUCAGUUUGUGUAGUCUUUAUUGUCGUUUGUUCUAGUAGUUAGCCCAUGCAUUGGCUAGAAAAUUAUAGCAAAAAUUGUAGCAAAAAGGGGAUUGUAUUUUCUGAUAUAAUUUAAUCAGGUGUCAAUUAUGCAGAAAAAGCUAAGAAGCAUCUGGAUUGUAGCCUUUUACCUUUUUGUAUUGUUCAAGCCUCUUAUCGUGAUAAUAUAUGGUGUAUUUCACUUUUGAGUGAACAUAUAGAGGAUACAAACUCUUGUUACUUUUCCUCUUUUAACUCAUCUAUUUGGAUUGCUACAUAGAUCCUUUUUAUCCAUUAUGUUUUGUUUAGGCCAGGCUUUCUAUAAGCUGUUGGGAUCCUAAAUAAUUUUUAUCCAUGUAACUUGACUUCAUUUUUUGGAAUGUGUGUUCACUUUAUUUGAACUCCUUUUCCCCCAUCAUUUCAUGAUGGGAUCAAAGUUCUAGUUGACAAAGGAACAAAGAGGGAAUGGUGAGGCCACAUGUAU
Molecule: unclassified non-coding RNA, 667 nt
Filed under: Hevea brasiliensis (rubber tree)
Lineage: Eukaryota; Viridiplantae; Streptophyta; Magnoliopsida; Malpighiales; Euphorbiaceae
Source: RNAcentral